CAGUCGCCGCGGGAAAACCGAGGGUGCAAGCGUUAAUCGGAGUUACUGGGCGUAAAGGGCGCGUAGGCGGUUAUAUAAGUGAGAUGUGAAAUCCCUGGGCUCAACCUAGGAACUGCAUCUUAUACUGUAUGGCUAGAGUAUUGUAGAGGGUAGUGGAAUUUCCGGUGUAGCGGUGAAAUGCGUAGAGAUCGGAAGGAACACCAGUGGCGAAGGCGGCUACCUGGACAAAUACUGACGCUGAGGCGCGAAAGCGUGGGGAGCAAACAGGAUUAGAUACCCCCGUAGUCCCUGUCUCUUAUAC
RNAcentral lists this ribosomal RNA (301 nucleotides) under uncultured bacterium. Its description in RNAcentral is "partial 16S ribosomal RNA". It matches the Rfam family "Bacterial small subunit ribosomal RNA", at positions 509 to 807 of the family's 1533-position model. The record is from RNAcentral.